RNAcentral lists this transfer RNA (64 nucleotides) under Melaenis sp. YZ-2018. RNAcentral's name for it is "tRNA-Trp". Lineage: Eukaryota; Metazoa; Annelida; Polychaeta; Phyllodocida; Polynoidae. The record is from RNAcentral.
AAGGCUUUAAGUUAAUUAAACUAGAAGCCUUCAAAGCUUCCAAUGGUAUCUUUACCAAGCCUUG